UUGAAUUAAUGGCACUUUUCCAGACAAGGAGAAAGCUGUGAGAUUGGCUGCUUAAGCUCCAAAGGACAGCUCCUUGUAAGGAAACUUGUAGGAUCCAAGAGCUGCAGGAGAAAACAGAAUACUCAUAGUCUCUCUGGAAGCCUGUUUAAAGCACGCUGGAUUUACCCAAUCUACUAAAGCACUUUUUGAUGAAGAAAACUUAAAAUAUAAACAGGCUUUUCAAAGCAGCUGAGUACUUAAAGCUAACUGGAUUCAAAGAAGAGAUGGAGAAAAUACAACUGGAUCAAUAAGAAGAAGCCAUAUAACAAAUAAAGUAAGAAGAGGAAGAGAUGAAUGAUCAUCAUGGCAGAUGUAGUUUCAUCAUCUUUUUUAUAUCAUGGUGACAAAAACUGGAUGCAAUAUUCCAAGUGUGGUCUUAAUCAAGGAAUCAUAGUGGUAUUAAUUACUUCACAUGAUCUUGAUUUUAUCCCUCUGUUAAUGCAACCUAGGACUGUGUUGGCUUUUUUGGCAGCUGCAGCAUACUGCUGGCUCAUAUUUAAGUGAUUGUCCACUAGGACUCCAAGGUCCCUCUCACAGUUACUACAUUGGCUGACUGAAGAUACCACUAUUGUUGCAUCAUUCUGCUAAAAAGCAGGAUCUUAGAAAAUGAAUAAUGAGUGAUUUUAUACUUCAGAAUUGCACCUGGUAGAAUACUCUGAUUGUAUUUAUAUCUACUAAAUCCCAUUUGAAAACCAAAAUAAUUACUUUUUAGAGUAUAAUUAAUGAUACUGUCUUUUUUUGCCUUACAUUAUGCUGUUGCUUCUUUCAAAAUUCUUCUCUAUCAGAUUUGAAAAUUAAGAUUGUCCCAAGAUAUGUAAUUUGUGCUUUAGUUUGUCAGUAACAUAGUGGAGGUUAACAUAUGCUGGUAAUUCCUAAGACUUAUAGCUAUGCUGUUUGUUAUAAAAUGCAUGACACACUUUAUAAAAUGAAGUCAUUGGUAUCCUACGGUGUAUUUGAAAGAAACAACAUUUUUGUACCUUAAGAUGACCAUUGACUAUGGCACCGUUUGUUCUGCUACUCAAUUUGCUGUGCAGUUCUCAAAUACCCUUCUUUCCAGAGACCAUUUUAAUAAAGUAGAGCAUGUUUAUCAUUUCAUUUUUGACAGUGCAGAAAUCAUAGGUAGGGGGUUAAGAGCUGAGAAAAGCAUUAACCUCAUGCAGAUCUCAUCCUACCAAUCAAAAAAAGGAUGGGAGAGACAACUGUGCUCCAGUAAAGUUCCUAGGCAAAUCAUAACAUUCUCCCUCAAACUAUUUUGUACCUGCAGAGUAUUUUUUAUAAGCUCACAAGGGAAUAAUUUUCUUGAGAUAAACAAAUUGCCCUAUGUUUUUUGUUUGAUUCAAGAAGCUAGAUCAUGUAUUGAUAUAAAAAUAGACUUAACAUUUAACCGUUGGAUUGAAAGAAAAUGAAAAGACUGAAAGAAAAAUUCAUUUCACAAUCCAUAUGGUCAAAUAAUACAACCUUUGUUCCAAACCUCUUUGCUCAGAUACAUUUUUCAAUUCUGUGUCUGAAUUCUGUGGCAAUCCUUUCUCAGAGUUGUCAAAUGUUGUUUAUUAGCAAAAAACAAUAACCUCCCAAAUCUUGUGAACAGAGGCCUUGUGAGUCAAACAGAGUGUUUUUUAUUAUUUUAUCCCACUUUUAUUAUUUUUAUAAAUAACUCAAGGCAGCAAACAUGUCUAAUAUUCCUUCUAUUUUCUCCAGAAAAAAUAUAUGCUGUGAGAUGAAUUGGGCUGCAAGAGAACGAUUGUCCCAAAGUCACUCAGCCAGCUUUCAUGACUAAAGUAAGAUUAGAACUCAUAAUCUCCUAGUUUCUAGCCUAUGCUUUAACCAUUAGACCAAGCUGACUCUAAAACUUUAUAGUUUAAUCUGCUGGAUUUGAGAACCCUGUUUUCAAUUUAUACUCAUCUUCUGACUUUAUAACAACAUUGUUUAGGGUUGCUGAACAGAAGGAUUAUUGGUUUAGACUAAUAUAUUUCUCUUCUUCCUAAUCUUAUAAUUUGAAUCAUGGUGUGUUAUAAAGCAGAUAAUUGGACUGGAUCUAGGUUAACUAGUAGCUAUUUUCUGAAAUACUUCUGUGCAGGGCCAGGCCAGUUAACAACCAUUCUAUUUACUUUAGGACCAACUGGAGCUGAUUGAGCAGAAUGUUGGUUGGUUGAUGGAAAAAUUAAGCCUCCGUUUCCUACCUGGCUGUAGCUAGAAGUGACUGGCUGGCUGUUCUGCAGUCUUGGUCUCUCCUCUUAAUACUUUCUCCAAAGUUAAAAUGAAAAUAAGCAUGUGCACACAUAACACAUACACCUCCAACCAACGACUAAAUAUCUUGGGAGAAUAAUCCAACUCUAUAUGAAAAAAAUAAUUAAUAAUAAAAAUUUCAGUCUGGAGUCAGACAACUACAUGUAUUAAAUUAGAAUUUAGAGGAAGGAAGACUCUACUCUUAAAUGAAGGUAUAUCUAUUUGGAAUCUAAGCUUAUUUGUAACAUAAGACUAGUCCUUGUGCAAGAGGUCUAGGCCCAUCUAGCCAUCCGUGGCCCAACAGAGGCAUCCCAAAUGCUAUAAAUAGGGAAUCAAGGUAGUCCUCCUCUUCCAUUGCUUUUCCUUUGUACCUAGUGUGCAGAAGCAGACUGCCUCCAUGCGAGGAAUGAGUGCCUAGUCUUCAAGGCUAAUAACCAUGAAUAGAUUUGUCCUCCAUGAAUUUGUCUUCUGAAGCUAUCUCAGCUAGCAACGAUCUUCUGGAAUUAUAUACCAUGGUUGAUUACACACUGAAUGAAAAAAAAUCCUAUCAAUUUUAAAUUUAUUAGUCAAUUUCAUUGGGGGAAGGGCUUCUACUAGUAUUAACACUGUGCAGAAGUUGCAACUCUUACAGCUCUACAGUUUUACUCUAAAACUGAAACUUCUUUUAUGUGUAAAUGCAACAAAGUAAUCAUCCAUGUUUUAAAAGUAAUGUCAACCGUGAAACUGAGUAGUUGUUAAAAAGGCUUAACAGUAGAAGUAUAUCAAUAUAUGUAUAUAUAAAUAUAUUUUAAAUGUGUGCUUUAUUUUUUAAACCUGUAUAAAUAAAUACAAAAUGACAAAGAGGUUUAUGUUUACUAAACAUUGCAUUUGAUUGUAUGACAUUACACAGUGUCUGUCACAAUAGGUUGAUUGAAAAUUGUGUCCUUUCUGCUGUUGGUGCAUAAUUACAGAAGUUUGUCGGAUACAAUUAGUCCUGAAUCUGCAUCCAGCCACCCUUUUCAGAGAAACCCCUGAGUACUUACAAUUGCAAAAGAGUGUUAGGGGAGCCAUUAAACCACAGUGGCUGAAUUCUUGAAAUUUUGCAAGAAAAAAAAGAGAUAAUUUUGCUGUCGAUAUAUAAAACAAAUGGCAGACUUGCAAACAUCCUGGUUUCUUAGAAUAGUAUUUCCUCCCCCAGUGGCUGAAAAACCCCACAAAAUGGCCUAAAGAAAUAAUAAUAAUAAUAAUAAUAAUAAUAAUAAUAAUAAUAAUAAUAAUAAUGACUCAUUUCAUUUUUAUUACAUUACUUAAUCACCUGAGAUUCCUUUGCUCUCCUCAUGUUCACUGAAAGCUUGAGAAUGUUAAUAACCAUUGACUUUGUGAUGCACAUAUAUUACACAUGAUUUUUUUCAUUGCUUAAAUAUUCAUCCAUGGAUCUGCCUAACAUAAUAAAGUCUUAGCCAGUUUUAUGGUGGAUUUGAGUUCAGCAGUUGUGUAGCAUGGGAGUGGUUAGAUUUCAUUCUGGACUUUGUAGUACAAAGGUAACUUUGCCAAUAACAGCUAUCUUCACUACUGUACUCCAAAACUGGCUAUUGUACUCCAUGUUAGGUAAAUCCAUAUCUGAAGAUGAAUUGCAUAUGGUCACCCACUAGGACAGUGUUUCCCAAACUUGACAAUUUUAAGGCAU
Long non-coding RNA from Crotalus tigris (Tiger rattlesnake), 3931 nucleotides. RefSeq lists it as uncharacterized. NCBI's taxonomy places the organism in Eukaryota, Metazoa, Chordata, Lepidosauria, Squamata, Viperidae. The record is from RefSeq and is a predicted model, not a curated record. The transcript is spliced from 3 exons.